GACGAACGCUGGCGGCGUGCUUAACACAUGCAAGUCGAGCGGUAAGGCCCUUUCGGGGGUACACGAGCGGCGAACGGGUGAGUAACACGUGGGUGACCUGCCUUUAGCUCUGGGAUAAGCCUGGGAAACUGGGUCUAAUACCGGAUACGACUCCGCGGUGCAUGCUGUGGGGUGGAAAGCCUUGUGCGGCUGGAGAUGGGCCCGCGGCCUAUCAGCUUGUUGGUGGGGUGAUGGCCUACCAAGGCGACGACGGGUAGCCGGCCUGAGAGGGCGACCGGCCACACUGGGACUGAGACACGGCCCAGACUCCUACGGGAGGCGGCAGUGGGGAAUCUUGCGCAAUGGGCGAAAGCCUGACGCAGCGACGCCGCGUGAGGGAUGACGGCCU
This 388-nucleotide ribosomal RNA is filed under the name uncultured bacterium. RNAcentral describes it as "bacterial SSU rRNA". It matches the Rfam family "Bacterial small subunit ribosomal RNA", at positions 28 to 417 of the family's 1533-position model. The record is from RNAcentral.